RNAcentral lists this ribosomal RNA (497 nucleotides) under uncultured bacterium. RNAcentral describes it as "bacterial SSU rRNA". It matches the Rfam family "Bacterial small subunit ribosomal RNA", at positions 28 to 521 of the family's 1533-position model. The record is from RNAcentral.
GACGAACGCUGGCGGCGUGCUUAACACAUGCAAGUCGAGCGGUAAGGCCCUUUCGGGGGUACACGAGCGGCGAACGGGUGAGUAACACGUGGGUGACCUGCCCUCAGCUCUGGGAUAAGCCUGGGAAACCGGGUCUAAUACUGGAUAUGACUCCAUGACGCAUGUUGUGGGGUGGAAAGCCUUGUGCGGCUGAGGAUGGGCCCGCGGCCUAUCAGCUUGUUGGUGGGGUGAUGGCCUACCAAGGCGACGACGGGUAGCCGGCCUGAGAGGGCGACCGGCCACACUGGGACUGAGACACGGCCCAGACUCCUACGGGAGGCAGCAGUGGGGAAUUGUUCGCAAUGGGCGCAAGCCUGACGACGCAACGCCGCGUGGAGGAUGAAGGUCUUCGGAUUGUAAACUCCUGUUGCCCGGGACGAAUAGCUCCGACCUAACACGUCGGAGUCUGACGGUACCGGGUGAGGAAGCCCGGCUAACUCUGUGCCAGCCGCCGCCGU